This 406-nucleotide ribosomal RNA is filed under the name uncultured bacterium. RNAcentral describes it as "partial 16S ribosomal RNA". It matches the Rfam family "Bacterial small subunit ribosomal RNA", at positions 29 to 526 of the family's 1533-position model. The record is from RNAcentral.
AUUGAACGCUGGCGGCAGGCUUAACACAUGCAAGUCGAGCGAGCGGCGGACGGGUGAGUAAUAUCUGGGAAACUGCCCGAUGGAGGGGGAUAACUACUGGAAACGGUAGCUAAUACCGCAUACCAUCAGAUGGGCCCAGAUGGGAUUAGCUAGUAGGUGGGGUAAUGGCUCACCUAGGCGACGAUCCGUAGCUGGUCUGAGAGGAUGACCAGCCACACUGGAACUGAGACACGGUCCAGACUCCUACGGGAGGCAGCAGUGGGGAAUAUUGGACAAUGGGAGAAAGCCUGAUGCAGCCAUGCCGCGUGUGUGAAGAAGGCCUUCGGGUUGUAAAGCACUGUUAGCGGGGAGGCGGUACCCGCAGAAGAAGCAACGGCUAACUCCGUGCCAGCAGCCGCGGUAAUUC